RNAcentral lists this unclassified non-coding RNA (210 nucleotides) under uncultured Chaetothyriales. Its description in RNAcentral is "sequence contains ITS1". The record is from RNAcentral. Lineage: Eukaryota; Fungi; Ascomycota; Eurotiomycetes; Chaetothyriales.
CCGAGUUUGGGUCGCCCCCGCGCGCCCGACCUCCAACCCUUUGUCUACCUGACCUUAACUGUUGCUUCGGCAGGCCCGCGGCCCUUUUUAGCGAUAAAGAGGGCCGCCGCCGGGGGUCUCACGACCCCGGGCCCGCGCCUGUCGACGGCCCAUACCAAAACUCUUGACAAAAAACGUGUCGUCUGAGUAUACCGAUUUAUAAUCAAAUCA